CACGCAGUAAACUAUGAUUACUCGCUGUUUGCGAUACACCGUAAGCGGCUUAGCGAAAGCGUUAAGUAAUCCACCUGGGGAGUACGUUCGCAAGAAUGAAACUCAAAGGAAUUGACGGGGGCCCGCACAAGCGGAGGAACAUGUGGUUUAAUUCGAUGAUACGCGAGGAACCUUACCCGGGCUUGAAAUGCAUCUGACAGGGGCAGAGAGGCCUUUUCCCUUCGGGGCAGAUGUGUAGGUGC
RNAcentral lists this ribosomal RNA (242 nucleotides) under uncultured Porphyromonadaceae bacterium. RNAcentral's name for it is "partial 16S ribosomal RNA". It matches the Rfam family "Bacterial small subunit ribosomal RNA", at positions 796 to 1041 of the family's 1533-position model. Lineage: Bacteria; Pseudomonadati; Bacteroidota; Bacteroidia; Bacteroidales; Porphyromonadaceae. The record is from RNAcentral.